UACGGGGGGGGCAAGCGUUGUUCGGAAUUACUGGGCGUAAAGGGCUCGUAGGUGGCCAACUAAGUCAGACGUGAAAUCCCUCGGCUUAACCGGGGAACUGCAUCUGAUACUGGAUGGCUUGAGUUUGGGAGAGGGACGCGGAAUUCCAGGUGUAGCGGUGAAAUGCGUAGAUAUCUGGUGGAACACCGGUGGCGAAGGCGGCGUCCUGGACCAACACUGACACUGAGGUGCGAAAGCCAGGGGAGCAAACGGG
RNAcentral lists this ribosomal RNA (253 nucleotides) under uncultured bacterium. Its description in RNAcentral is "partial 16S ribosomal RNA". It matches the Rfam family "Bacterial small subunit ribosomal RNA", at positions 524 to 776 of the family's 1533-position model. The record is from RNAcentral.